UUUCCGUAGGUGAACCUGCGGAAGGAUCAUUGUCGAAACCUGCCCAGCAGAACGACCCGCGAACUUGUAUAAACAACCGGGGGCGGGGGGCGUUCUCGCCCCGUGCCCCCGAACGGCGGGGAGACACUCGUGCCUUCUUGCCGAACAACGAUCCCCGGCGCGGUCUGCGCCAAGGAACUUCAACUAAAGAGUGCCUCCGGUCGCCUCGGAAACGGCGUGCGUGCCGGGGGCGAAUCUUGUGCAAAACCAUAACGACUCUCGGCAACGGAUAUCUCGGCUCUC
RNAcentral lists this unclassified non-coding RNA (282 nucleotides) under plant metagenome. RNAcentral describes it as "partial contains small subunit ribosomal RNA, internal transcribed spacer 1, and 5.8S ribosomal RNA". The record is from RNAcentral.